Non-coding RNA from Taeniopygia guttata (zebra finch), 1449 nucleotides. NCBI's taxonomy places the organism in Eukaryota, Metazoa, Chordata, Aves, Passeriformes, Estrildidae. The record is from RefSeq and is a predicted model, not a curated record.
UAAUAUUUUAAUGGUUUCUGCAUGAUGCUGGCUUUUGUGCAGUCAGGAGCUUUUAACAUACGUUUGUGCUGACAGCCUGGGAGCACUGCAGCUCCAGGUUGAAGGAGCACGCUUUCAAUGCAUUGCAGUUGGUUUCAGCAAAUGUGUGAGCCUGGAGCCAGGAUAUUGCAGUGUGUUUGGAAAGAAAGCGUUUCUGCAUAUUUAAAGUUACUGAAUCUCAGUGUAUGAAGCAUUGUAGGGGAAGAAUCUGUCAGUAGGCCAUGGUGACUGUCUUUCUCUUCAGCUCUCUGUUGCUGUUUGUUUAUCCUGGUGCUGCCUUUUAGAAAGGCCUCUUUCAGUGCUGAAUAAUGGAGAGCACUGUGAGAGAUUAAAGCAUUAUAAAAAUUCUAUUUGUGAAAAUUCAUCAGGAACAAGACAUAUUUUACAUACGUAACUGCACUAAUGACCUGUAUUGACAUUCUGGAGGAUUCCUGAUAGUUUCUUCAUCUCACCCCAAGGAGCCUGAGCCCAACCCCAACAAGCCCCUGCAGUCCAUGCAGUCCUCUGUUCGCUUUUCAUUUUUGGAGGUAAGCAAGUAAACUUCCAUUGUUGAUGUUUUCUUCUGCAUCCAAAACAUAAUGAUCAAAACAUAUUGCAAAAGGAAAAUUGAAAAAAAAAAUUAAGUAUGUCUCUGCAAUCCAAAAUACAUUUUACUUGACCAGCUGCUCUUCUGAAGGUAAGUAUUUUAUGGAAAAAAAACUCAGGAUAAUACGUAUUUUGACACCUAGUACACAGACUCAAGUUAUUAAUGUAUAAUUCUGUGUUGCUUUGACUGCUUAGAAGUGUAUAUGAAAUUUUAUAGUUUGCUUCUUGUGAUCAUGCCUCAGAUUGUAUUCUGUUAUGUGGGAAGUUUAAGGUGCAUUCAGAAAUGAGGGUGAUUCAUGAAACACAUGGUUAUUUUUUGCUUAGUGAGGGCUAGUGGUGUGCUUAGUGAGUUGAGUGAUUCAGAAGAACACAAAGUCAUAUUCAUUAAAUUGGUAGGACUGUUUUGUCCUCAGGACUAGGAGGAUUUUAAGCUUCACUUCUGUUUCAACAGUGUUCUAGAUAAACCCCAACAGCCACAUACAACAUCUUUUCACUCUCUUCUUUCUUCAACUGCCAUGUUUGUUCAUAAGAAUAGGUUUUUUUUUUGCACUUGUCAGAAACGUAGUUAUCUUCAUGAGAUCAGAAAAUUAUUAGUGAUAAAAAAUACUUGAUAAUCCUUCCUGUUAUGUAAAAUCAUAAUAAAUAAUAAUAAUGGAUGUUUCUGAUGCAGAAAAACUUUUUCCUUCCUUCUUUUUAGAGCAGGAAGUUGCUAGUCAAGAAUCUCAUCGGUGUCAGUCAUUGAGAUUCUGCUCUGUAGGGAGGGAGUUUUUAAAGCAAGAUACUAAUAAGUCAUCAAUGCCUCAUGGAUUUAAAGAAAAACAAAAA